GUAGAUUAGUAGCUGAAGAAUGUUGAUUCAAAUGGUGUUGUUUGCUGUUUUAGCUAAUUUUUAAUACUGUUUAUCAUAAUCUUGGAUAAAUUAGAGAAUAAAUACUUUGCAAGUAUAAUCUCAAUCUAAAAUUUGUUUAAAGAAACUUAUUUAAGUUUAGGAUGCUUGACCACCAUUUUUUUCCUAUACUAUAGCUUCUUUUCGUCUCUACGUUGUAGGUACAUAUAUUCAUGUAUCUUGUUAUUUAGAUUC
RNAcentral lists this long non-coding RNA (252 nucleotides) under Elaeis guineensis (African oil palm). RNAcentral's name for it is "long non-coding RNA (EGUI_LNC018285)". The record is from RNAcentral. Lineage: Eukaryota; Viridiplantae; Streptophyta; Magnoliopsida; Arecales; Arecaceae.